GACAGAGGCCUCAAGCGUUAGGCGGAAUCACUGGGCUUAAAGCGUGUGUAGGCGGGUCGGUAAGUACCUUGUGAAAUCCCACGGCUCACCCGUGGAACGGCUGGGUAUACUGGCGAUCUUGGGCCAACUAGGGGCGACUGGAACAAGCGGUGGAGCGGUGAAAUGCGUAGAUAUCGCUUGGAACGCCGAAGGUGAAAACAGGUCGCUGGGGUUGUGCCGACGCUGAGACACGAAAGCCAGGGGAGCAAACGGG
This 253-nucleotide ribosomal RNA is filed under the name uncultured bacterium. RNAcentral's name for it is "partial 16S ribosomal RNA". It matches the Rfam family "Bacterial small subunit ribosomal RNA", at positions 524 to 776 of the family's 1533-position model. The record is from RNAcentral.